UAGUGCAGGCCAUGCAGUAGCAGCCGCAGCAGCCACAGGCAUCAGUGCAGCUGAAAAGAGCAUCGUCGGAGUUUCAGAAUCCGGCGACCGGACGGGCCACUUGGGCCAGUCGCCCUAUCUUCCCCGAAAAGGAGAAACAGAAGUCGGAGAGCCCUCCGUCCGAUCAUGAUUCCACCCCCGAAGGGUCCCUACCUCCGUUCCACCAGAAGACCCUCGAGACUCACAGUCGAGAGGACCUCCU
This 241-nucleotide long non-coding RNA is filed under the name Elaeis guineensis (African oil palm). RNAcentral's name for it is "long non-coding RNA (EGUI_LNC035930)". The record is from RNAcentral. Lineage: Eukaryota; Viridiplantae; Streptophyta; Magnoliopsida; Arecales; Arecaceae.